Molecule: ribosomal RNA, 2934 nt
Filed under: Yersinia enterocolitica
Lineage: Bacteria; Pseudomonadati; Pseudomonadota; Gammaproteobacteria; Enterobacterales; Yersiniaceae
Description: bacterial LSU rRNA
Rfam family: Bacterial large subunit ribosomal RNA
Source: RNAcentral
GGGUUGUGAGGUUAAGCGACUAAGCGUACACGGUGGAUGCCUAGGCAGUCAGAGGCGAUGAAGGGCGUGCUAAUCUGCGAAAAGCGUCGGUAAGGUGAUAUGAACCGUUAUAACCGACGAUACCCGAAUGGGGAAACCCAGUGCAAUUCGUUGCACUAUUGCAUGGUGAAUACAUAGCCAUGCAAGGCGAACCGGGGGAACUGAAACAUCUAAGUACCCCGAGGAAAAGAAAUCAACCGAGAUUCCCCCAGUAGCGGCGAGCGAACGGGGAGGAGCCCAGAACCUGAAUCAGCAUAUGUGUUAGUGGAAGCGUCUGGAAAGUCGCACGGUACAGGGUGAUAGUCCCGUACACAAAAAUGCAUAUGUUGUGAGUUCGAUGAGUAGGGCGGGACACGUGACAUCCUGUCUGAAUAUGGGGGGACCAUCCUCCAAGGCUAAAUACUCCUGACUGACCGAUAGUGAACCAGUACCGUGAGGGAAAGGCGAAAAGAACCCCGGCGAGGGGAGUGAAAUAGAACCUGAAACCGUGUACGUACAAGCAGUGGGAGCACCUUCGUGGUGUGACUGCGUACCUUUUGUAUAAUGGGUCAGCGACUUAUAUUUUGUAGCAAGGUUAACCGAAUAGGGGAGCCGUAGGGAAACCGAGUCUUAACUGGGCGAAUAGUUGCAAGGUAUAGACCCGAAACCCGGUGAUCUAGCCAUGGGCAGGUUGAAGGUUGGGUAACACUAACUGGAGGACCGAACCGACUAAUGUUGAAAAAUUAGCGGAUGACUUGUGGCUGGGGGUGAAAGGCCAAUCAAACCGGGAGAUAGCUGGUUCUCCCCGAAAGCUAUUUAGGUAGCGCCUCGUGAACUCAUCUUCGGGGGUAGAGCACUGUUUCGGCUAGGGGGUCAUCCCGACUUACCAAACCGAUGCAAACUCCGAAUACCGAAGAAUGUUAUCACGGGAGACACACGGCGGGUGCUAACGUCCGUCGUGAAGAGGGAAACAACCCAGACCGCCAGCUAAGGUCCCAAAGUCAUGGUUAAGUGGGAAACGAUGUGGGAAGGCAUAGACAGCCAGGAUGUUGGCUUAGAAGCAGCCAUCAUUUAAAGAAAGCGUAAUAGCUCACUGGUCGAGUCGGCCUGCGCGGAAGAUGUAACGGGGCUAAACCAUGCACCGAAGCUGCGGCAGCGACGCUUAGGCGUUGUUGGGUAGGGGAGCGUUCUGUAAGCCGUUGAAGGUGACCUGUGAGGGUUGCUGGAGGUAUCAGAAGUGCGAAUGCUGACAUAAGUAACGAUAAUGCGGGUGAAAAACCCGCACGCCGGAAGACCAAGGGUUCCUGUCCAACGUUAAUCGGGGCAGGGUGAGUCGACCCCUAAGGCGAGGCUGAAAAGCGUAGUCGAUGGGAAACAGGUUAAUAUUCCUGUACUUGGUGUUACUGCGAAGGGGGGACGGAGAAGGCUAGGCUAGCCGGGCGACGGUUGUCCCGGUUUAAGCAUGUAGGCGGAGUGACUUGGUAAAUCCGGUUGCUUAUCAACGCUGAGGUGUGAUGACGAGCCACUACGGUGGUGAAGUAGUUGAUGCCAAGCUUCCAGGAAAAGCCUCUAAGCAUCAGGUAACAUUAAAUCGUACCCCAAACCGACACAGGUGGUCAGGUAGAGAAUACUCAGGCGCUUGAGAGAACUCGGGUGAAGGAACUAGGCAAAAUGGUGCCGUAACUUCGGGAGAAGGCACGCUGGCAUUAGGUAAAGGGACUUGCUCCCGGCGCCGAAGCCAGUCGCAGAUACCAGCUGGCUGCAACUGUUUAAUAAAAACACAGCACUGUGCAAACACGAAAGUGGACGUAUACGGUGUGACGCCUGCCCGGUGCUGGAAGGUUAAUUGAUGGGGUCAGCCGCAAGGCGAAGCUCUUGAUCGAAGCCCCAGUAAACGGCGGCCGUAACUAUAACGGUCCUAAGGUAGCGAAAUUCCUUGUCGGGUAAGUUCCGACCUGCACGAAUGGCGUAAUGAUGGCCAGGCUGUCUCCACCCGAGACUCAGUGAAAUUGAACUCGCUGUGAAGAUGCAGUGUACCCGCGGCAAGACGGAAAGACCCCGUGAACCUUUACUAUAGCUUGACACUGAACAUUGAGCCUUGAUGUGUAGGAUAGGUGGGAGGCAUUGAAGUGUGGACGCCAGUCUGCAUGGAGCCAACCUUGAAAUACCACCCUUUAAUGUUUGAUGUUCUAACUCGGCCCCGUGAUCCGGGGUGAGGACAGUGUCUGGUGGGUAGUUUGACUGGGGCGGUCUCCUCCCAAAGAGUAACGGAGGAGCACGAAGGUUAGCUAAUCACGGUCGGACAUCGUGAGGUUAGUGCAAAGGCAUAAGCUAGCUUGACUGCGAGAGUGACGGCUCGAGCAGGUACGAAAGUAGGUCUUAGUGAUCCGGUGGUUCUGAAUGGAAGGGCCAUCGCUCAACGGAUAAAAGGUACUCCGGGGAUAACAGGCUGAUACCGCCCAAGAGUUCAUAUCGACGGCGGUGUUUGGCACCUCGAUGUCGGCUCAUCACAUCCUGGGGCUGAAGUAGGUCCCAAGGGUAUGGCUGUUCGCCAUUUAAAGUGGUACGCGAGCUGGGUUUAGAACGUCGUGAGACAGUUCGGUCCCUAUCUGCCGUGGGCGUUGGAAGAUUGAGAGGGGCUGCUCCUAGUACGAGAGGACCGGAGUGGACGAAUCACUGGUGUUCGGGUUGUCAUGCCAAUGGCAUUGCCCGGUAGCUAAAUUCGGAAGAGAUAACCGCUGAAAGCAUCUAAGCGGGAAACUUGCCUCGAGAUGAGUCUUCCCUGGGGCUUUAAGCCCCCUGAAGGAACGUUAAAGACUAUGACGUUGAUAGGCUGGGUGUGUAAGUGCAGCGAUGCAUUGAGCUAACCAGUACUAAUGAUCCGUGAGGCUUAACCUUACAACACCGAAGGUGUUU